RNAcentral lists this ribosomal RNA (253 nucleotides) under uncultured bacterium. RNAcentral describes it as "partial 16S ribosomal RNA". It matches the Rfam family "Bacterial small subunit ribosomal RNA", at positions 524 to 776 of the family's 1533-position model. The record is from RNAcentral.
UACGUAGGGUGCGAGCGUUAAUCGGAAUUACUGGGCGUAAAGCGUGCGCAGGCGGUUUUGUAAGCCAGAUGUGAAAGCUCCGGGCUUAACCUGGGAAUGGCAUUUGGGACUGCAAGGCUGGAGUUUGGCAGAGGAGACUGGAAUUCCUGGUGUAGCAGUGAAAUGCGUAGAUAUCAGGAGGAGUACCGAUGGCGAAGGCAGGUCUCUGGGCUAUAACUGACGCUCAUGCACGAAAGCGUGGGGAGCAAACAGG